RNAcentral lists this ribosomal RNA (477 nucleotides) under uncultured bacterium. RNAcentral's name for it is "bacterial SSU rRNA". It matches the Rfam family "Bacterial small subunit ribosomal RNA", at positions 365 to 832 of the family's 1533-position model. The record is from RNAcentral.
UUCGCAAUGCCCGAAAGGGUGACGAAGCGACGCCGCGUGCGGGAAGAAGGCCUUCGGGUUGUAAACCGCUGUCGGGAGUUAAGAAAUGUAAGGAUGUUAAUAGCAUCUUUGCUUGACUAAGGCUCCGGAGGAAGCCACGGCUAACUCUGUGCCAGCAGCCGCGGUAAUACAGAGGCGGCAAGCGUUGUUCGGAAUUAUUGGGCGUAAAGAGCACGUAGGCGGCUAUGUAAGUCGGUUGUGAAAGCCUUCCGCUCAACGGGAGAACAGCAUCCGAUACUGCAUGGCUUGAGUGCGGGAGGGGAGAGUGGAACUUCUGGUGGAGCGGUGAAGUGCGUAGAUAUCAGAAGGAACGCCGGCGGCGAAAGCGGCUCUCUGGCCCAUAACUGACGCUGAGUGUGCGAAAGCUAGGGGAGCAAACGGGAUUAGAUACCCCGGUAGUCCUAGCCGUAAACGAUGGGCACUAAGUAGAGGGGUUUU